UAUAAAUAUGAGCGAGUACGUUGGCUGUUAUUCGUAACUUUCUAACUGAUGAAUAACAGCUUGAAUUGAAUAAGUUCUUUCUAUGCACUUACACCACGUCCAAUGCUUGCAGGCCAUUACUAUUCUGGUUAGAUGAACCCCUCAUAGCUGAGCAGUUAACAGAAAAAGGAAAGAUAGAAGCUUUUUAAAGGGACGUACUUUUGUGACGGAGUAUUAAACACCCUUCCUUGCGGGUUAUGGAAUUACUUGUAGCAGGAUUGAGAAAAGAGCUGUAGCUGUUAAUAUAAUAUGUUCUUUUGUUAUGUUUUUCGUCUAAAGCGAUGCUGUAAUGUUACUUUUUGAAUUAUUAGGUCACUCCCGGAGAUGAAAUUUCAUAGAGAUUUUAAAUAAAAUGACAAACGUAGUAGACAU
Molecule: long non-coding RNA, 411 nt
Organism: Orbicella faveolata
Lineage: Eukaryota; Metazoa; Cnidaria; Anthozoa; Scleractinia; Merulinidae
Source: RefSeq, a predicted model, not a curated record